This 503-nucleotide ribosomal RNA is filed under the name Escherichia coli. RNAcentral's name for it is "partial 23S ribosomal RNA". It matches the Rfam family "Bacterial large subunit ribosomal RNA", at positions 2159 to 2661 of the family's 2925-position model. RNAcentral also lists the same sequence under 1 other name. The record is from RNAcentral. Lineage: Bacteria; Pseudomonadati; Pseudomonadota; Gammaproteobacteria; Enterobacterales; Enterobacteriaceae.
GAAGUGUGGACGCCAGUCUGCAUGGAGCCGACCUUGAAAUACCACCCUUUAAUGUUUGAUGUUCUAACGUUGACCCGUAAUCCGGGUUGCGGACAGUGUCUGGUGGGUAGUUUGACUGGGGCGGUCUCCUCCUAAAGAGUAACGGAGGAGCACGAAGGUUGGCUAAUCCUGGUCGGACAUCAGGAGGUUAGUGCAAUGGCAUAAGCCAGCUUGACUGCGAGCGUGACGGCGCGAGCAGGUGCGAAAGCAGGUCAUAGUGAUCCGGUGGUUCUGAAUGGAAGGGCCAUCGCUCAACGGAUAAAAGGUACUCCGGGGAUAACAGGCUGAUACCGCCCAAGAGUUCAUAUCGACGGCGGUGUUUGGCACCUCGAUGUCGGCUCAUCACAUCCUGGGGCUGAAGUAGGUCCCAAGGGUAUGGCUGUUCGCCAUUUAAAGUGGUACGCGAGCUGGGUUUAGAACGUCGUGAGACAGUUCGGUCCCUAUCUGCCGUGGGCGCUGGAGAA